UACAUCUGGUCGCUGUUGUCCCUACGCGAUGGAAUUCGCAGGUUUUGAUGGUGCGCAAGCUGCUGCGUGUUUUCCAGAACGGCCCUACUGUAGGGGAAAAGCUUUCUGCUUGCAAAAAGGAACGGCUGACGAACUACGACAUCAGAGUGCUUGGUGAGAACAGGAGUUGUAGUGGCACUUCAUCGCACUGGAACGAGGAAGAUGCAAUAAAAUGGCGGCGUACUUUCAGGGGACCUUGUAACCAUUCUUUCUGCCUUUGAAGAAGCCACGAACAUUCUCCAGCGUGACCACGAAACCGCGGGCCUUCUGCUUCCCGCGAUAGAGAAUCUCGAACAGUCCCUGCUUCGAAUGAAAGAAGAAAAGAAACCAUUUCGGUCUUGAGUGGUGUUGCGUCAUCGCUUUUGCAAAGUUUGAGGAAGAGGUUUGACACGGCGUGGGAUGCUGAUUAUUUCCUGGCCGGGGCUAUUCUUGAUUCGCGGUUUAAGUUAGAGUGGUGCACAGACGAGGGGCUCCGGGAGCCAAUGAAGGAGCGCAUACUAAGCUUUGCUCCACCUGAGUUGGACGGCGCCCCACAAAGUCAGAAAAAGAAACGCUCGCACUGUUCUCUGAGCUGACGCGCUCAUCGGCGUCUUCAAGCGGAAGCCGAAGCGCAAAAGCGUAUCAAGAAAUGGCACUUUACUUAUCAGAGAGCACUGUCGAUGAUGACCCAUAGUCCCUCAAGUUCUGGAGUGAAGCCAUGUCCCGCUCCCGAUACCCUAUGCUCUCCGCGGCCGUGAAACGAGUAUUAUCAGUACCUGCCAGUCCGGGUGCUGUUGAACGCGUGUUUUCUGCCGCAAAUCUUAUGAAGUCGGCGAAAAGGAACAGGCUCCACCUAUCCACUUUAGAGCACCUUGUGUUCUUGGACAAAAACCAGGUUACAUAGACUUUGUUUUUAUGUCCUCAUCGUUCGAAUAAAAUACCCAUUGCAGUUA
Molecule: long non-coding RNA, 971 nt
Organism: Ornithodoros turicata
Lineage: Eukaryota; Metazoa; Arthropoda; Arachnida; Ixodida; Argasidae
Exons: 2
Source: RefSeq, a predicted model, not a curated record